CUCUUAUCCAGAGUCGGUGGAGGGACAGGCCCUUUGAAGCCCGGCAACCCGUCAUUCAAAUGACAUGGUGCUAACCUGAAGCAAGGAGAUCUAUCACUCCUUGGACGAUAAGAG
This 114-nucleotide non-coding RNA is filed under the name Halobacillus mangrovi. RNAcentral describes it as "SAM-I sequence". It matches the Rfam family "SAM riboswitch aptamer (S box leader)". From Rfam's summary of the family: The SAM riboswitch is found upstream of a number of genes which code for proteins involved in methionine or cysteine biosynthesis in Gram-positive bacteria. The SAM riboswitch acts at the level of transcription termination control. The predicted structure consists of a complex stem-loop region followed by a single stem loop terminator region. Lineage: Bacteria; Bacillati; Bacillota; Bacilli; Caryophanales; Bacillaceae. The record is from RNAcentral.